GAAACUCACGGGGGCGCGUGCUAAGACCUGCACCGGUGGCGACGCCGUGCUGCGGUCUGGCUUGCGUCCUCUUCCAAACCCAAACACCUGUGAACCUUUGGGAUGGCGCGCUGUAACGGCCGUCGUCCCGUUUACACCAACUCUGAUGUCUAUUUGAAUGUGACUCGGGGCCUCCCCGAUUUAAACUUAAAACAACUUUCAACAACGGAUCUCUUGGCUCUCGCAUCGAUGAAGAACGCAGCGAAAUGCGAUAAGUAAUGUGAAUUGCAGAAUUCAGUGAAUCAUCGAAUCUUUGAACGCACCUUGCGCUCCUUGGUAUUCCGAGGAGCAUGCCUGUUUGAGUGUCUUGAAAUCAUCAAACCCCUCUGGUUUCUGCUGGAGCGGGUUUGGACUUGGGGGUUUUGCUGCCUCUGGCGGCUCCCCUUAAAUGAAUCGGUCGGGCUUUCGUGUGGCUUGUCCCUUGGCGUUGUAUCAACCUCGUCGCUGGAUGGCUCGCGAGCUUAGCGCCCCUCCAAGACCAGCCUCUGGAGUGGCGGUCAACUUCAAUUUGUGAUCUGACCUCAAAUCAGGUAGGACUACCCGCUGAACUUAAGCAUAUA
Molecule: ribosomal RNA, 599 nt
Filed under: uncultured Basidiomycota
Lineage: Eukaryota; Fungi; Basidiomycota
Description: eukaryotic LSU rRNA
Rfam family: 5.8S ribosomal RNA (bases 194-347)
Source: RNAcentral